CAGUGACCCGAUUUAACGGCCGCAGUACCCUAACCGCGCAAAGGUAGCAUAAUCACUUGUCCCUUAAAUAUGGACCAGUAUCAACGGCAUCACGAGGGUUCCACUGUCUCCUUUCUCUAAUCAGUGAAACUGAUCUCCCCGUGAAGAAGCGGGGAUAAACCCAUAAGACGAGAAGACCCCAUGGAGCUUCAAACCAGCUUUACCCCCCCCCCACCCUUUUUAUACCCUCUUAUCUGCGGAACACUACAUGCUCGGUUUUAGGUUGGGGCGACCACGGAGCAUAAAAAAACCUCCAUGAUGCAUGAGCCUACCCUCUUACCUAAGAAACACACUUCUAGGAAUUAGCACACUAACAUACUAUGAUCCAGUAACUGAUCAACGAACUAAGUUACCCUGGGGAUAACAGCGCAAUCCAUUUCAAGAGCUCCUAUCGACAAAUGGGUUUACAACCUCGAUGUUGGAUCAGGGUAUCCUAGUGGUGCAACAGCUACUUAAGGUUCGUUUGUUCAACGAUUAAAACCCUACAUGAUCUGAGUUCAAACC
Molecule: ribosomal RNA, 543 nt
Filed under: Gephyromantis tschenki
Lineage: Eukaryota; Metazoa; Chordata; Amphibia; Anura; Mantellidae
Description: partial 16S ribosomal RNA
Rfam family: Bacterial large subunit ribosomal RNA
Source: RNAcentral